CCUACGGGGGGCUGCAGUGGGGAAUAUUGCGCAAUGGGCGAAAGCCUGACGCAGCGACGCCGCGUGAGGGAUGAAGGUCUUCGGAUCGUAAACCUCUGUCAGCAGGGAAGAACGGUCACUGUGCUAAUCAGCAGUGAAUUGACGGUACCUGCAAAGGAAGCACCGGGUAACUCCGUGCCAGCAGCCGCGGUAAUACGGAGGGUGCGAGCGUGAAUCGGAAUUACUGGGCGUAAAGCGCUCGUAGGCGGUAUAUCAAGUCAAGGGGGAAAUCCCCGCGCUCAACGUGGGAACUGCCUUUGAAACUGGCAAACUGGAGUGUGUGAGAGGAGAGUGGAAUUCCAGGGGUAGGAGUGAAAUCCGUAGAUAUCUGGAGGAACAUCAGUGGCGAAGGCGACUAUCUGGCACAUAACUGACGCUGAGGAGCGAAAGCGUGGGUAGCAAACAGGAUUAGAUACCCGAGUAGUC
RNAcentral lists this ribosomal RNA (465 nucleotides) under uncultured bacterium. Its description in RNAcentral is "partial 16S ribosomal RNA". It matches the Rfam family "Bacterial small subunit ribosomal RNA", at positions 338 to 795 of the family's 1533-position model. The record is from RNAcentral.